GGGAUGAUCUAAAGAUUUGGUGCCUGCCUCAUAAGAGCUAAGAAGACACCUGAUCUAUUCUGGUAUUUUACUCAUUUAAGGUACACGAUGGUCCAAAAGUUUCAGAGCUUCAGUAUCAUCCAUCUUUGCAGAAAACACUGCUCACACAGGUGAAGGACAAAACCAGCAAAGAUGUUUGAUUUAAGUUCAAAUUUGUUCGCAGAAGGCGCCAAAACUGACAAAGUUACUUACUGGAGCUUCUGUCAUAAUGAAUAGAAUGACAUAUUUCACUAUUUAUUAUUAGCUUCAACGGUUAAGAUUUUUGGGUUUCAGCCUCACAAGGAUGAUUAUAAAAUACUGUUAAUCAGCUGACUGAUCGAUCAGUCCAUCUCUAUUACAAAAAUCACGACUCUGUACUACAUAGGACUCAUAUUUGCUUUUUCUUUAGCUGCAGAUCUAAAGUAUUAUAUUUAUACCUCUCCCAUUUUUAUGAUCUAUUUAUUUAAAUUCACACUUGUUAAAUAAAUCCUGAAACUGGAAACUUUUUAUUUUUUAAACCAAAAUAACUGAAACAGUAAAAGCGAGACUUCAUCUACAGAUGUGUUACUGCUUCAGAAGUUGAAGUUUUGAGCACCACUGCUGAAAGAAAAAACAACAUUCAUCAUUUAAGUUAUAAAACUCAUGCAAAGGGAAGUUAAAUAAAAAUCAUCAUUUUGUAAAAGACACUUAGACAUGUUCUUCAGGGUGUGGCCUGCAGAGGGCGCUCUAACGCCACAGUCGUCAGCCUCACAGCAGAGCUCAUGUUUGUGGCUUCAUGUGAGAUUUUAGUGUAACAAAAAAACGAGUAUUUGAGCAUUCCUGUGGCGCUCUGUCUGUUCAUGAUUGAUGAGGGCUUCAGCUGAAACCUUCAGUUUUACUCUUACUCGGUCUAGUUUGAACAGAAGUUUCUUCAGGAUGUGAAAGAGCGUGACUGUAUUCAUGUACUUUGGCAAAACAAGAUCAUGUUUAAUAUCUUGGUACUUAUUUUAGAGUUUUAUUUUGUUCAAUAUUAUAUUUCUUCUCCACAAAUCUUAAAGAUAACUAGUUGCUGUAAAAUACAAACUUUUACAGAUUAACACUCCAGGGAAAUCUUCCUAUCCUCCAAAUUUGGUUUAUUUGAACAGGGUGUUCUGGCAAACCUGAAGUAUUUAUUGCGAUGUGUUGAGAGAACUUUUUAAUUCUUGAACCCUGUAAAACAUUUAGAGUUUAAAAUGUUUGUUACAGGAUAGAGCAGGAUGAUCAAGAGCAAGAAAAGGUUAAAUCUGUGUGAAGAUGUAGAUUUUUAACUCUUAAAUAAAACAAAAGAUGUUAAAGGGACUACUGCAGGUCCUAAAAGCAUGAAAAAUAGUUCUUUUUCUUUCUUUUUCAUUAUUUAUUUUUUAUUUUGUUAAAAUCUGGCAUCUCAGUGUGUCAAUCACUUUACUACCAAAGAGGAUCAGGGCCACAUGAAGAGAAAAAAAAAUUACAGGAAGAUGAUAAAGUCAAAAUUUUGAGAUAAAAAAAUCAAAAUUUUGAGGUCAAAGUCGAAAUUUUGCGAUCAAAGCCGACAUGAAUAAAGUCAACAUUUCGACUUUUAAAAUUUCGACUUUUAAAAUUUUGACUUUAAUCUCGAAAUGAAAGUUUAAAAAAUCUUCCUCCUGUAAUUAUUUUUUGCUCUCCUUGUAACCCUAAUCCUCUUUUGUACUUUGCACACCCAGCAUACUUGUCUGCCAUGAGUCUGGAAUAAAUCCACCUCUGUUGUUUACAUAUCUAACGUUUAAAAAUAACUGUCAAAGUGACGUCAAACAGCUUCAGCAGGUAGGGAGUGAUCUUGUUUUCACAGCAAAGUUAUUAAUAAAGAAAAUAAAUAAAAUCAGGCCUAUAGAUAGCCGCAUAGUUAAUCUAUUAGUCCUCACAUGAAGUGAAUCCAAUCAGUUUAUUGAUAACACACACUGUCAGCCUCUUCCUCUGCAGUCGUUUCCAUCCAUGCAUUCGAAGUUGGUCCCUCCUGUAAGAGCCUCUCUGGAGUGAAAGUCUUUUUCUGACCACCAGCGGUACAUUCAUGAAGUAUUUAUCUGUUUUCACCCGCUGUUGACGUAAACAUCCGAGGUAUAUGGUCUUAAAUUCCAGAGCUUGUAGAGUUUCCUCUCCCUCUUUAUAAAAGCCUGCGAUGACAGGACCGUCUCGGUGAUUUGCAUUUUGGUUUCUGCAGCACACAGAUUAUUAUCAAAAUAAGACUUCAUAAAAACAAUCAUUUUCAACUCAAAAGAUUCUGCAUUUUGAUAGUAAAACUGCUUCUUAGAGGUCCUUGUGUAGAUGCUAAAUGGACUCGUACUGCAGCACUAGAAGCUACAAUAGGGGAUCAUCAAUAUCCCAUUAUCUCAUCCCAUUCAUAGACAUACAUGAUAAGAUGUGUUUGUUUGUGUUAAAUCAUCCAACACCUCAUUAAAAAAGUGCAUUUUGACCCACUCUAAAGGUGCAUAAUGGCGCCUGUUCUGUACAGUAUCCAUCCUCCGCCGCUAGUAUCUGCUCUUGUUCCUCACUGCCACUGACUGACUGUCUCUUCUGCACCAGGACACUUCGUUUUAACAUUGUCAAACACAGAAAGUAAACAUCAGCCCCGCCUUCCUGUGAUUGUCUGAUCUUCCUGAUGCUCACGUGUUGAAUCCACUCCCACCUGGAGCUUCGGCGUGUGGAAACAAACACUGAACAGAUAACUGCAGGUUGGGUGUGCUGCCGUGUCUGUACAGUAUGUCCUGUUGUUUUACAUUAAAGCCAGACUGUGGAUCGCUCGCUCGCUCACUCGCACGGAUCCUCGCCAAGAUAAAAAAUGAUUUCCAG
This 2838-nucleotide long non-coding RNA is filed under the name Xyrichtys novacula (pearly razorfish). Lineage: Eukaryota; Metazoa; Chordata; Actinopteri; Labriformes; Labridae. The record is from RNAcentral.